Molecule: long non-coding RNA, 207 nt
Filed under: Panax ginseng (ginseng)
Lineage: Eukaryota; Viridiplantae; Streptophyta; Magnoliopsida; Apiales; Araliaceae
Description: long non-coding RNA (PGIN_LNC014601)
Source: RNAcentral
UAGGACCGACAUGAUGGUGCGCUCCCUUCGAUCUUCGAGGAGUAGGGCUUCUCGAUCUUCUUCUUUCUCGAUGUUGGCCCUGAGUUUCACGUCCUGAAUGAGCGGGUUCCUUCCCACUUCUAUGCCCACGCUCUUCGGACCGAACGUAACUGGACGCUUCAUCUCUCAACUCUUCCAUCCGGGACAUCUGCUCAGCUAUAUCCUGUC